CAUCACCAUCGCCAUCGUCAUCCUGUCGAUUUUUUUAAGGAGAGAGAUGGGGGUGGGGGGCCAUUGCCAUCGUCGUCGUUAAUGUCGAUCACAGCGGUGACCAUGAGUUUAGAGGAUCCAUGAAUAUUCGAUCAAGAUGAGGGAAAGAGGGUGGUUAGGGAUCACUGUCUGAUUAGAAAUGAAGGAAUUCAGAAUUCUUGACGGCACCGACGAUGGUGGGCCGGGGAGGCAGCG
RNAcentral lists this long non-coding RNA (234 nucleotides) under Elaeis guineensis (African oil palm). RNAcentral describes it as "long non-coding RNA (EGUI_LNC014010)". Lineage: Eukaryota; Viridiplantae; Streptophyta; Magnoliopsida; Arecales; Arecaceae. The record is from RNAcentral.